AUUGAACGCUGGCGGGAUGCUUUACACAUGCAAGUCGAACGGCAGCACGGACUUCGGUCUGGUGGCGAGUGGCGAACGGGUGAGUAAUACAUCGGAACGUGCCCAGUCGUGGGGGAUAACGUAGCGAAAGCUACGCUAAUACCGCAUACGAUCUAAGGAUGAAAGCGGGGGAUCGCAAGACCUCGCGCGAUUGGAGCGGCCGAUGGCAGAUUAGGUAGUUGGUAGGGUAAAGGCCUACCAAGCCGACGAUCUGUAGCUGGUCUGAGAGGAUGAUCAGCCAAACUGGGACUGAGACACGGCCCAGACUCCUACGGGAGGCAGCAGUGGGGAAUUUUGGACAAUGGACGCAAGUCUGAUCCAGCCAUUCCGCGUGCAGGAUGAAGGCCCUCGGGUUGUAAACUGCUUUUGUACAGAAUGAAAAGGCUCUGGUUAAUACCUGGGGCUCAUGACGGUACUGUAAGAAUAAGCACCGGCUAACUACGUGCCAGCCGCCGCAGUAA
This 500-nucleotide ribosomal RNA is filed under the name uncultured bacterium. RNAcentral's name for it is "partial 16S ribosomal RNA". It matches the Rfam family "Bacterial small subunit ribosomal RNA", at positions 30 to 523 of the family's 1533-position model. The record is from RNAcentral.